AUACGUAGGUGGCAAGCGUUGUCCGGAAUUACUGGGCGUAAAGGGCGUGUAGGCGGGGCGGCAAGUCAGGUGUGAAAUCCCGGGGCUUAACUCCGGAGCUGCAUCUGAAACUGCUGUUCUUGAGUGCUGGAGAGGAAAGUGGAAUUCCCAGUGUAGCGGUGAAAUGCGUAGAGAUUGGGAGGAACACCAGUGGCGAAGGCGGCUUUCUGGACAGUAACUGACGCUGAGGCGCGAAAGCGUGGGGAGCAAACAGGAUUAGAUACCCUGGUAGUCCACGCCGUAAACGAUGGAUACUAGGUGUAGGAGGUAUCGACCCCUUCUGUGCCGGAGUUAACACAAUAAGUAUCCCGCCUGGGGAGUACGGCCGCAAGGCUGAA
RNAcentral lists this ribosomal RNA (377 nucleotides) under uncultured bacterium. RNAcentral's name for it is "bacterial SSU rRNA". It matches the Rfam family "Bacterial small subunit ribosomal RNA", at positions 523 to 898 of the family's 1533-position model. The record is from RNAcentral.